Molecule: ribosomal RNA, 580 nt
Filed under: Brucella intermedia
Lineage: Bacteria; Pseudomonadati; Pseudomonadota; Alphaproteobacteria; Hyphomicrobiales; Brucellaceae
Description: bacterial SSU rRNA
Rfam family: Bacterial small subunit ribosomal RNA
Source: RNAcentral
GCUACGGAACAACAGUUGGAAACGACUGCUAAUACCGUAUGUGCCCUUCGGGGGAAAGAUUUAUCGGCAAAGGAUGAGCCCGCGUUGGAUUAGCUAGUUGGUGAGGUAAAGGCUCACCAAGGCGACGAUCCAUAGCUGGUCUGAGAGGAUGAUCAGCCACACUGGGACUGAGACACGGCCCAGACUCCUACGGGAGGCAGCAGUGGGGAAUAUUGGACAAUGGGCGCAAGCCUGAUCCAGCCAUGCCGCGUGAGUGAUGAAGGCCCUAGGGUUGUAAAGCUCUUUCACCGGUGAAGAUAAUGACGGUAACCGGAGAAGAAGCCCCGGCUAACUUCGUGCCAGCAGCCGCGGUAAUACUAAGGGGGCUAGCGUUGUUCGGAUUUACUGGGCGUAAAGCGCACGUAGGCGGAUUUUUAAGUCAGGGGUGAAAUCCCGGGGCUCAACCCCGGAACUGCCUUUGAUACUGGAAGUCUUGAGUAUGGUAGAGGUGAGUGGAAUUCCGAGUGUAGAGGUGAAAUUCGUAGAUGUUCGGAGGAACACCAGUGGCGAAGGCGGCUCACUGGACCAUUACUGACGCUGA